UACGUAGGCAGCAAGCGUUGUUCGGAAUUACUGGGCGUAAAGAGUACGUAGGUGGUUUGCUAAGUCCGAUGUGAAAUCUCCCGGCUUAACUGGGAGGGUGCGUUAGAUACUGGCAGGCUUGAGUGUGGGAGAGGAAAGCGGAAUUCCUGGUGUAGCGGUGAAAUGCGUAGAUAUCAGGAGGAACGCCUGUGGUGUAGACGGCUUUCUGGACCAUUACUGACACUGAGGUACGAAAGCGUGGGUAG
RNAcentral lists this ribosomal RNA (245 nucleotides) under uncultured bacterium. Its description in RNAcentral is "partial 16S ribosomal RNA". It matches the Rfam family "Bacterial small subunit ribosomal RNA", at positions 524 to 768 of the family's 1533-position model. The record is from RNAcentral.